AUAAUGUAAUACUCACAGCCGAGUAAUUUAUAUUUUAAAAAAAGAGGUUUAAUUGGCUCAUGGUUCUGUAGGCUGUAUAUAAAGCAUAGUGCCAGCAUUUGCUUAUAUCAAGGGCCUCUGGAAGCUUACAAUCAUGGUGGAAGGCAAA
Molecule: long non-coding RNA, 148 nt
Organism: Sapajus apella (tufted capuchin)
Lineage: Eukaryota; Metazoa; Chordata; Mammalia; Primates; Cebidae
Exons: 3
Source: RefSeq, a predicted model, not a curated record